AAAGGAAAGAGAGAAAUAGAGAGCUUUAGAAAAUUCUAUUUAACUCUAUAGUUGCAGGUUAACAAUUUGAGCUCUGAAUUUUUCUUGUUGUAAUU
Nomascus leucogenys (northern white-cheeked gibbon) is the source of this 95-nucleotide long non-coding RNA. RefSeq lists it as uncharacterized. The record is from RefSeq and is a predicted model, not a curated record. NCBI's taxonomy places the organism in Eukaryota, Metazoa, Chordata, Mammalia, Primates, Hylobatidae. The transcript has 3 exons.